GGCAACAGACUGUCCCCGCCGACUGCGCACGGUGUGGCUGGGCGGCCUCACCGCUCGCCUGAGGGAAGCCGCCUGACUGACCUGCGGGCAGACUACCGCGGGCGUGUUUACUUUUGUACCGAUUGCACGCCGACGUCCCUGGAGGUUAGGGGCCGCCUGGAAACAGGAUUUGCGCCCACAUCCUUGCCCUGGGCCCACUGGGCAGCAGAACUCGUCAGAUAAACGCUGGCAGCCUCCUCCUCCAGCUGCCCGUGUUCAGGCUAAGAAAGGCCCGCCGACUCUCACGGUUCUCCACCCCUCCAGAACCAAAACCUCCGGGGAAAGAAUUAAGGCAGUGGCUCCAGCACGUAUCGAAUCCUACGAGGUGUCACGCGGCAGUAGCAGUUGUUAUCCCAGUUUCCUGGUUGUUUCCUCUGCCUGCAAAGCCUUCCUUCACCGCCUUCCACUCCUCUGGUGUCUCUGCCGCUCAGAGGCCUCCUGCUUUAACCACCUUACUUGAAAUUUGGGCUUGAGUGUGUUUUUGGAGAAGGCUUUGAGGUGAACACACACAGCUGUGUCACGGAGGGAGGGUUGAGAAUCAAAAAUGCAACCGUGAAAAAAAAACAGAGACCAGGUGAUGACGUCAGAGCGCGCCGCCACCCCGUAGGAGGCCUGCAUCACUCCUGCCCAGGCGCUACGGCUACCGCAGCGGGCGCUCCCAGCUCUGGGUCACCUAGGAGUUCCAGGGGAGUGGGCGAUCUGGGGGCUGCGCGGCAAGAGAGGUAUCUGACCAGACUGCAGCAAGCCCUUCAGCCGCUCUACUUCAGCCAGAGUUGACGCAUUUGCUAUAGCAUUCUGGAGGACAGAAAACAACAGAGAAGGACAAUUAAUUGCAUCUAAGUAUCAAUCACCCAGAAAACCUUACAGAAGUCCAUAGCAACUUUUUGAGGUGGAACAUUCAACAGCUCUACUGGGAGAAUUUUAUUGUCACAAUGAGCAAAUGAUUACUGCACAUGUCCUAAAAUUUUAGCUAAUUAAAGCACCUAUGUGGAAUUAUGUUACUGGAUAAUUUAGGAAGCAGUAUUAGGAAACUAGGAUUUCCUACUGAUCAUCAAGCAGAUCUUUCAGACAGCAAAUCUCUGAAAGUAAAAAUUAAGGCAAACAACCGAGACAGCAUACUUCAGUGACUGACCGUUCAAAUACCCUGGGAAAAUGGAAAAGAACUAGAGCUGUCUCUGUGCUGACUGGCUCAUAGAAGCGAUUCACAUCAAAGGUGGCUGAAUAAUCACUUUAAGCUAGUUCCCACCUAACACAGAAAUGGAGCAGGAAUCUAAGUGUGGGGGGUGGAGGGUGGAAACUGCAAUGUUUAGAACUUGGUCUAUUACAUAUUUUGUGUCCUAAACCCAUGGCAACUCUUCUAACACAUUUUUACCUUGAUGGCUUCUACAUCCCCUGGAGACGGCCCACCUUUCUUUUUGUCAGUCGGCAAACCGGCACCUGGGUUGAAACUUGGGAGGGGAGGGAAGAACGUAACUGUUAAAUCCAGACCAAUGGAAAUUGCUUCUCUUUUACUUUCAAAAAGGCUUUUGAAAGUAAUUCAACCAGUGUAGUAUCUUAUCUUUGUUAACAAACUGAUACAAGAAACUCUCUCCUUCAGAAACACCACCCAGUUCAUCUUCCUCUAGAGAAAGCAGGAUAUAUACAGUGUUGCAUUAAGACUGAACACCGGAAGUAUUUGCUAACCUGGUAGAAAUCUCAUGUGAUGUGUGGACCAUUGAAGGUCAUGGGCUAUCAUCACACAAAUUCAAUACUGUAUUAGUCAGUCACAGGUGUUUUGUUUAGUUCUGUAGGAGGCAAAAAGCCAGACAGAUAGUGUUUCUGAAGGUGAAGUGGAGUGAAGUUGGAUAUCCGUAUCUUACGUUUUGCUUCUCCUGGCAAUAUCCUUUGCAAGUUGUGCACCCCGUUUGCCCUUGAACAUUUUCUCUGCUUCCUGACGCUCCUACAGCAACACCACACACAGAGUUAAUGGAAAUAGGAAUACCACAUGCAUUUAGAUGCAUUCCUCAGAAAACACGGAAGAAAACUCUUCUGAAAUACUCGGGGCUGGUAAAAAUACCAAAAAGUCAAUUUCAAAUUAAAAGGAGACACAAUGGCCUUGCUUUGUCUGGUGAAGUUCCCUGAAGAAAGUUCCCCCUCCUAGUUUCAGGGAGGGGCUCUGGAGGAACUAGGAAGGUUUAAAAAGGAAAGAAAAAAAAAACAACAAAAAACAAAAACAGAAACAAAAAACAAGGGAAAACCCACUCCCUGUAAAGGGAAAAUCAUUCUAACAAUUAAAGCUGCUGAAAAAUGGAUUCUAUUAAGCUCCCCAAGGGGGAACAUAUCUUAAGCACAGUCUUGCUGACAGUGCUCACCGCGGCUGAUACUGUACUACGACCUCUGAAUGACCAACACUACUGCACAAGACAGCUUUAACUCAAAGUCCUACUGUAAACUCUGCUAGGAAAAAAAAAAUCUGACUUAACAUUUUGUUUCCCACAUUUUUAUGACAAACCGAUAGUAAAACACAUUCGGCAAUUAAAAAAAAAUCAACAGCAAAAGUAUAAAAUAAAACAUGAACGUAUAAUGACUUACAACCAACAGAAAAUACUUACUUUCAGUUUCACCUUCUGGAAAUCCAGUACUCUGACUUGUGGAACUUUAUAAAUUACAUACAGUCUGUAAUGCUUCUUAUUUGUUACAGGAUUUCUUAGGAUACUGCAAGAAAAGGAAUAGCAAUGCCAGUCUUGUUCAUAGCGUAGCAUUUCAAGAGGUCCAUUUUAAUAAAAUCAAAUGAGUCCAUAA
Acinonyx jubatus (cheetah) is the source of this 2820-nucleotide long non-coding RNA. RefSeq lists it as uncharacterized. NCBI's taxonomy places the organism in Eukaryota, Metazoa, Chordata, Mammalia, Carnivora, Felidae. The transcript has 2 exons. The record is from RefSeq and is a predicted model, not a curated record.